This 124-nucleotide ribosomal RNA is filed under the name Pogona vitticeps (central bearded dragon). The record is from RNAcentral. Lineage: Eukaryota; Metazoa; Chordata; Lepidosauria; Squamata; Agamidae.
GGUUUCCACAGUACUACCCUGAUCAUACCUCAUCUCUUCUGAUUUCAGAAGCUAAGUAGGGCCAGGCUUGGUCAGUAUUUAGAUGGGAGACCCCAGGGAUCUCCAGAUAGGGCUAGGGAAAAUC